This 675-nucleotide ribosomal RNA is filed under the name Clostridioides difficile. RNAcentral describes it as "partial 23S ribosomal RNA". It matches the Rfam family "Bacterial large subunit ribosomal RNA", at positions 1524 to 2210 of the family's 2925-position model. Lineage: Bacteria; Bacillati; Bacillota; Clostridia; Peptostreptococcales; Peptostreptococcaceae. The record is from RNAcentral.
GCAGUCAAAGUAGGCAAAUCCGCUUUGAUAAUGCUGGGAUGUGAUGGGGAGCGAAAUUUAGUAGCGAAGUAGCUGAUUUCACACUGUCAAGAAAAGUCUCUAUCGAGGUUAAAGGUACCCGUACCGCAAACCGACACAGGUGGGUGAGGAGAGUAUCCUAAGGCCAGCGAGAGAACUGUUGUUAAGGAACUCGGCAAAAUGACCCCGUAACUUAGGGAUAAGGGGUGCCACCAUCAGGUGGCCGCAGAGAAUAGGCCCAAGCGACUGUUUACCAAAAACAUAGGUUUCUGCUAAGUCGCAAGACGAUGUAUAGGAGCUGACGCCUGCCCGGUGCUGGAAGGUUAAGGGGAUCUGUUAGAGCAAUCGAAGCAGUGAACUUAAGCCCCAGUAAACGGCGGCCGUAACUAUAACGGUCCUAAGGUAGCGAAAUUCCUUGUCGGGUAAGUUCCGACCCGCACGAAAGGCGUAACGAUUUGGGCACUGUCUCAACAACAGACUCGGUGAAAUUGUAAUUCCGGUGAAGAUGCCGGAUACCUGCGACAGGACGGAAAGACCCCAUGGAGCUUUACUGUAGCUUGACAUUGGGUCUUGGUACUACAUGUACAGGAUAGGUGGGAGGCUUUGAAACCAGGACGCCAGUUUUGGCGGAGCCAUCCUUGGGAUACCACCCUUGUA